RNAcentral lists this ribosomal RNA (672 nucleotides) under uncultured bacterium. Its description in RNAcentral is "bacterial SSU rRNA". It matches the Rfam family "Bacterial small subunit ribosomal RNA", at positions 1 to 669 of the family's 1533-position model. The record is from RNAcentral.
UAGUGAUUAGAGUUUGAUCCUGGCUCAGAUUGAACGCUGGCGGCAUGCUUUACACAUGCAAGUCGAACGGGGUGGAGGGGUAACCCUCCAUUCAGUGGCGAACGGGUGAGUAAUACAUCGGAACGUACCUCGUAGUGGGGGAUAACUCGGCGAAAGCCGUGCUAAUACCGCAUAUGCUCUACGGAGGAAAGCAGGGGACCGCAAGGCCUUGUGCUAUGGGAGCGGCCGAUGUCCGAUUAGCUAGUUGGUGGGGUAAUGGCCCACCAAGGCGACGAUCGGUAGCUGGUCUGAGAGGAUGAUCAGCCACACUGGGACUGAGACACGGCCCAGACUCCUACGGGAGGCAGCAGUGGGGAAUUUUGGACAAUGGGGGCAACCCUGAUCCAGCCAUGCCGCGUGCGGGAAGAAGGCCUUCGGGUUGUAAACCGCUUUUGGUCGGGAAGAAAAGGCGUGGGCUAAUACCUCACGUUCUUGACGGUACCGGCAGAAUAAGCACCGGCUAACUACGUGCCAGCAGCCGCGGUAAUACGUAGGGUGCGAGCGUUAAUCGGAAUUACUGGGCGUAAAGCGUGCGCAGGCGGUUCGUUGUGUCCGAUGUGAAAGCCCCGAGCUUAACUUGGGAAUGGCAUUGGAAACUGGCGAGCUGGAGUGUGGCAGAGGGGGGUGGAAUUC